GACGAACGCUGGCGGCGUGCUUAACACAUGCAAGUCGAGCGGAGCGGCGAACGGGUGAGUAACGCGAGGGUAACUGCCCCCCUCUCUGGGAUAACAGUUGGAAAAGGCUGCUAAUACCGGAUAGUGGGGGGGGACUCGCGUCCUAUCAGCUUGAUGGUGGGGUAGUGGCCUACCAAGGAGACGACGGGUAGCCGGCCUGAGCGGGGGACCGGCCACAUUGGGCGGAGAUACGGCCAAAAAUGCUACGGGAGGAAGCAGUGGGGAAUAUUGCACAAGGGGGGAAACCCUGAUGCAGCAACGCCGCGUGCGGGAUGACGGCCUCCGGGUUGUAAACCGCUUUCAGCCAUGACGCGGUAGUGGCAGAACAAGCACCGGCUAACUACGUGCCAGCAGCCGCGGUAAUAC
This 405-nucleotide ribosomal RNA is filed under the name uncultured bacterium. RNAcentral's name for it is "partial 16S ribosomal RNA". It matches the Rfam family "Bacterial small subunit ribosomal RNA", at positions 28 to 526 of the family's 1533-position model. The record is from RNAcentral.